UACGAAGGGGGCUAGCGUUGCUCGGAAUUACUGGGCGUAAAGGGCGCGUAGGCGGACAGUUUAGUCAGAGGUGAAAGCCCAGGGCUCAACCUUGGAAUUGCCUUUGAUACUGGCUGUCUUGAGUUCGGGAGAGGUGAGUGGAAUGCCGAGUGUAGAGGUGAAAUUCGUAGAUAUUCGGCGGAACACCAGUGGCGAAGGCGACUCACUGGCCCGAUACUGACGCUGAGGCGCGAAAGCGUGGGAGCAAACAGG
This 252-nucleotide ribosomal RNA is filed under the name uncultured bacterium. RNAcentral's name for it is "partial 16S ribosomal RNA". It matches the Rfam family "Bacterial small subunit ribosomal RNA", at positions 524 to 776 of the family's 1533-position model. The record is from RNAcentral.